UCCGUGCCGUAGCUAACGCAUUAAGUACCCCGCCUGGGGAGUACGGCCGCAAGGCUAAAACUCAAAGAAAUUGACGGGGGCCCGCACAAGCGGUGGAGUAUGUGGUUUAAUUCGAUGCAACGCGAAGAACCUUACCAGGGUUUGACAUCCUGCGAACCCCCUGGAAACGGGGGGGUGCCUUCGGGAACGCAGUGACAGGUGGCGCAUGGCUGUCGUCAGCUCGUGUCGUGAGAUGUUGGGUUAAGUCCCGCAACGAGCGCAACCCACGUCGUUAGUUGCCAGCAUUCAGUUGGGCACUCUAGCGAGACCGCCGGUGAUAAACCGGAGGAAGGUGUGGAUGACGUCAAGUCAUCAUGCCCCUUACAUCCUGGGCUACACACGUACUACAAUGCUACGGACAAAGGGCCGCAAGCUCGCGAGAGUUAGCAAAUCCCAUAAACCGUGGCUCAGUUCAGAUCGUAGGCUGCAACUCGCCUACGUGAAGGAGGAAUCGCUAGUAAUCGCAGGUCAGCAUACUGCGGUGAAUACGUUCCCGGGCCUUGUACACACCGCCCGUCACACCAUGGAAGUUGGCCACGCCCGAAGUCGUUACUCCAACCCGUAAGGGAGGAGGACGCCGAAG
RNAcentral lists this ribosomal RNA (622 nucleotides) under uncultured cyanobacterium. RNAcentral describes it as "bacterial SSU rRNA". It matches the Rfam family "Bacterial small subunit ribosomal RNA", at positions 840 to 1461 of the family's 1533-position model. Lineage: Bacteria; Bacillati; Cyanobacteriota. The record is from RNAcentral.